UCCUACGGGAGGCAGCAGUGGGGAAUAUUGGGCAAUGGGCGAAAGCCUUACCCAGCAAUGCCGCGUGUAUGAAGAAGGUCUUCGGAUUGUAAAGUACUAUAUUGGGGAAGAACACAAUGACGGUACCCAAGAGAAAAAGCCCCGGCUAACUAUGUGCCAGCAGCCGCGGUAAUACAUAGGGGGCUAGCUUUGUCCGGAAUUACUGGGCGUAAAGGGUGCGUAGGUGGCAAUGUAUGUUGGAAGUGUAAUCCCUCGGGCUUAACUCAGGGGCUGCUUCCAAAACUGCAUUACUUGAGUGUCGGAGAGGAAAACGGAAUUCCUAGUGUAGCGGUGAAAUGCUCAGAUAUUAGGAGGAACACCAGAGGCGAAGGCGGUUUUCUGGACGACAACUGACGCUGAGGCACGAAAGCGUGGGGAGCGAUUGGGAUUAGAUACCCCAGUAGUCCACGCCGUAAAUGAUGGGUACUUGAUGUUGGGAGUAUCAACUCUUCCAGUGUCGUAGCAAACGCGAUAAGUACCCCGCCUGGGGAGUACGGCCGCAAGGUUGAAACUCAAAGGAAUUGACGGGGACCCGCACAAGCAGCGGAGCAUGUGGUUUAAUUCGAAGCAACGCGAAAAACCUUACCAAGACUUGACAUCGCAUGAUCGCCAUAGAAAUAUGGUUUCUCUUCGGAGCAUGCAGACAGAUGGUGCAUGGUUGUCGUCAGCUCGUGUCGCGAGAUGUUGGGUUAAGUCCCAAAACGAGCGCAACCCUUGUUGUUAGUUGCCAAUAUUAAGUUAGGAACUCUAGCGAGACUGCCGCGGUAACGUGGAGGAAGGAAGGGGACGACGUCAAAUCAUCAUGCCUCUUACGUCUUUGGGCUACACACGUGCUACAAUGGCCAUAACAAAGAGCAGCAAUAUAGCGAUAUUGAGCAAAUCUCAUAAAAAUGGUCUCAGUUCGGAUUGUAGGCUGCAACUCGCCUACAUGAAGUCGGAGUUGCUAGUAAUCCCGAAUCAGAACGUCGGGGUGAAUGCGUUCCCGGGUCUUGUACACACCGCCCGUCACGCCAUGGGAGUUGGUAGUACCCAAAGUCGGUGAGCUAACCGCAAGGAGGCAGCCGCCUAAGGUAAGAUCAAUGACUAGGGUGAAGUCGUAACAAGGUAACCA
Molecule: ribosomal RNA, 1150 nt
Filed under: uncultured bacterium
Lineage: Bacteria
Description: bacterial SSU rRNA
Rfam family: Bacterial small subunit ribosomal RNA
Source: RNAcentral